RNAcentral lists this long non-coding RNA (813 nucleotides) under Pongo abelii (Sumatran orangutan). RNAcentral's name for it is "lincRNA". The record is from RNAcentral. Lineage: Eukaryota; Metazoa; Chordata; Mammalia; Primates; Hominidae.
GAUUGGUUGAAAAGCAUCAUUCAGAAGGGACCAAUAAAGAGAGAGGGGUUGAACUACCUAGAGAAAACCAUUUUAAAUAACAAUUUCAGAAGAUUUUAAAAAUUCAACUCUACCUAAAGACACCAUAAAACGGCUCAUUAUUCCAUCAUCCAGGUCAUAUCGUCUAAUAACAGAAAACAGAAAGAAGUACAAGGAUCAUAAUUACAGAGAGAAGUUUGACCAAAUCCCUUUUUGUAAAAAUAUUAAAUAUAAAUAUAUAUCUUCUAUGUUUUUGUUCUAACCCUAAAUACUAAAUAUUUACUGGGAAGUCUCUUAAUCUGUGAAAGACUACGUUCAAUUACAUUAAAUAAAAUACGGGAAUUGCUAAAUUUUAAAUUCAGUAUUCCCUACGAAAAACUAAACUUAGGAAAAGUAUAUAUUUUAUGAAUUUUGCCACAACUGCUCAUUUGGGGAAUAAAAAUCAGAACUCUGAAAUUUUAGCUUUGAAAACCAAUAUUGUCUUUGAAAGCUAAUGAUCAAGUGAUCAUUUUGUUUCCUAGCCAUUUAAUAAUAACCUUGGCUUUCUUUUUCGGGUUCAUAUUCCUUGCACCAUCUUUGACCAAAACCAAAAUUCUCACCUACUUUCUAUGUAAUAAAUCAUUAGGAACUAUAAAAAAGAGAGAAAACAAUUAACUUUAUCCAAUUUUAUAACUAUUGGAUGGGCAUUCUGCUAGACACUUUAUGCUUCUUAUCAUAUUAAUGCUCCAGUAUUAUAUGCAAUAGAAAAUAAAAGUUAAUCUAGUAAUAUAUAAUGUUAAAUUCAACUAAAUUUGG